ACCACGGUGGUCUAGCGGUUAGAACGCUGGCCUUGUAAUCCUGGGGUCUCGGGUUCGAUUCCCGGCGGUG
Non-coding RNA from Zootermopsis nevadensis, 70 nucleotides. The record is from Rfam. NCBI's taxonomy places the organism in Eukaryota, Metazoa, Arthropoda, Insecta, Blattodea, Termopsidae.